Molecule: ribosomal RNA, 253 nt
Filed under: uncultured bacterium
Lineage: Bacteria
Description: partial 16S ribosomal RNA
Rfam family: Bacterial small subunit ribosomal RNA
Source: RNAcentral
UACGAAGGGGACUAGCGUUGUUCGGAAUCACUGGGCGUAAAGCGCACGUAGGCGGAUGUGUCAGUCAGGGGUGAAAUCCCGGGGCUCAACCUCGGAACUGCCUUUGAUACAGCACGUCUCGAGUCCGGAAGAGGUGGGUGGAAUUCCGAGUGUAGAGGUGAAAUUCGUAGAUAUUCGGAGGAACACCAGUGGCGAAGGCGGCUCACUGGUCCGGUACUGACGCUGAGGUGCGAAAGCGUGGGGAGCAAACAGG